Phasianus colchicus (ring-necked pheasant) is the source of this 494-nucleotide non-coding RNA. NCBI's taxonomy places the organism in Eukaryota, Metazoa, Chordata, Aves, Galliformes, Phasianidae. The record is from RefSeq and is a predicted model, not a curated record.
GCCAGCGUUCGUCCCCCGCAGCUGCGCCCUGAGGCGGGGCGGGGCGCGGACCAAUAGCGGAGCGGCUCAGCGCCCUGCAGCGCCGGCCAGUCGCACGUGCAUCCGCCUCACGGCACGGAAAGUUCCAGCAGCAGCUGCACGCGGCAACCAGGGGACGGCGGCAGCGCGGGGACCGCGAGGUGCGGCUUUCUUGAGCGCUUUUUGGCUUGGCUGGCCAAACACACAGAGCUGAGCCCAUCUCCUAACAAGGCCAGGGGGAGUUUCAGCUGAGACAGCCUUCAGGAUCUGACCUAUUUCAUCUGUGACACACAGCACCGUGAACUCUUGCCUGCCAAAUUCCAAGAGCUUGAUUUUUUGGAAGAAAAAAAGUGUAUUUCUUGGCCUCUUCUAUUUUCUUAAAUGAAUGCAGGCUUUUACUAAAGCUGCAGUGACACCUGUGGCAGUACCUGGACUGUGGUGAUGCCAUGCUCCCGACCCACCAGAACUCGGCCAUC